RNAcentral lists this unclassified non-coding RNA (380 nucleotides) under uncultured bacterium. RNAcentral describes it as "contains 16S-23S intergenic spacer region". The record is from RNAcentral.
UCCUUAUUUCUAAGGCAGUCCCGCUAGAGUGCUCCCGAAGGAUAGCAACUAACGGCAGGGGUUGCGCUCGUUAAAGGACUUAACCCAACAUCUCACGACACGAGCUGACGACAGCCAUGCAGCACCUGUUUACAUGUCUUAGUUACCCAAGAAAGGGAUAUCUCUACCCCGGUCAUGUAUAUGUCAAGCCCAGGUAAGGUUCCUCGCGUAGUGUCGAAUUAAACCACAUGUUCCACCGCUUGUGCGGACCCCCGUCAAUUUCUUUGAGUUUUAGUCUUGCGACCGUAAUCCCCAGGCGGAUCACUUAUCGCGUUAGCUACGACACCGGAACCCUCUAGGAGUCCCGACAUCCAGUGAUCAUCGUUUACGGCGUGGACUAC